This 425-nucleotide ribosomal RNA is filed under the name Roseobacter sp. SKA44. Its description in RNAcentral is "bacterial SSU rRNA". It matches the Rfam family "Bacterial small subunit ribosomal RNA", at positions 9 to 479 of the family's 1533-position model. Lineage: Bacteria; Pseudomonadati; Pseudomonadota; Alphaproteobacteria; Rhodobacterales; Roseobacteraceae. The record is from RNAcentral.
GAGUUUGAUCAUGGCUCAGAACGAACGCUGGCGGCAGGCCUAACACAUGCAAGUCGAGCGCACUCUUCGGAGUGAGCGGCGGACGGGUUAGUAACGCGUGGGAAUAUGCCCUUCUCUAAGGAAUAGCCACUGGAAACGGUGAGUAAUACCUUAUACGCCCUUCGGGGGAAAGAUUUAUCGGAGAAGGAUUAGCCCGCGUAAGAUUAGAUAGUUGGUGGGGUAAUGGCCUACCAAGUCUACGAUCUUUAGCUGGUUUUAGAGGAUGAUCAGCAACACUGGGACUGAGACACGGCCCAGACUCCUACGGGAGGCAGCAGUGGGGAAUCUUGGACAAUGGGCGCAAGCCUGAUCCAGCCAUGCCGCGUGAGUGAUGAAGGCCUUAGGGUCGUAAAGCUCUUUCGCCAGAGAUGACCAAUGACAGUAUC